This 253-nucleotide ribosomal RNA is filed under the name uncultured bacterium. RNAcentral describes it as "partial 16S ribosomal RNA". It matches the Rfam family "Bacterial small subunit ribosomal RNA", at positions 524 to 776 of the family's 1533-position model. The record is from RNAcentral.
UACGAAGGGGGCUAGCGUUGUUCGGAAUUACUGGGCGUAAAGCGCGCGUAGGCGGUGAUCUAUGUCAGAGGUGAAAUCCCGGGGCUCAACCCCGGAAUUGCCUUUGAAACGGGAUCGCUAGAGUCCGAGAGAGGAUGGCGGAAUUCCUAGUGUAGAGGUGAAAUUCGUAGAUAUUAGGAAGAACACCGGUGGCGAAGGCGGCCAUCUGGCUCGGUACUGACGCUCAGGCGCGAAAGCGUGGGGAGCAAACAGG